RNAcentral lists this ribosomal RNA (484 nucleotides) under uncultured bacterium. Its description in RNAcentral is "partial 16S ribosomal RNA". It matches the Rfam family "Bacterial small subunit ribosomal RNA", at positions 30 to 507 of the family's 1533-position model. The record is from RNAcentral.
AUUGAACGCUGGCGGCAGGCCUAACACAUGCGAGUCGAACGGAAGAACGGAGCUUUCUCCUGGUUUUCGAGGGGCGAACGGGUGAGUAACACAUGAGUAUGCCUCCUAGUGGGGGGGAACGUCCGGAGAAAGCCGGUAAUACCGCCUACGAGGUGUGCGAGAAAGAGGGGGGGCUUUGGACCGCUCGCUCUCUGAGGAUCGUAGGGGGGGUUUGCUAGUUGGUGGGGGAAAGGGCUACCAAGGAGGCGAUCGGUAACUGGUCUGAGAGAGUGAUCAGUCACACUGGAACUGAGCCACGGCCCAGACUCCUACGGGAGGCAGCAGUGGGGAAUUUUGGACAAUGGGCGAAAGCCUGAUCCAGCCAUGCCGCGUGUGUGAAGAAGGCCUUCGGAUUGUAAAGCACUUUUAGUUGGGAAGAAGGGCAUUAACCUAAUACCGUGCGGUGUUGACGGUACCGGCAGAAUAAGCACCGGCUAACUACGUG